GGGUGUAGCUCAGUGGUAGAGUGCUUGCCUGGCAUGUGCAAGGCCCUGGGUUCCAUCCCCAGCACAAUCA
Molecule: transfer RNA, 70 nt
Filed under: Marmota marmota marmota (Alpine marmot)
Lineage: Eukaryota; Metazoa; Chordata; Mammalia; Rodentia; Sciuridae
Also listed under: 1 other name
Rfam family: tRNA
About the family: Transfer RNA (tRNA) molecules are approximately 80 nucleotides in length. Their secondary structure includes four short double-helical elements and three loops (D, anti-codon, and T loops). Further hydrogen bonds mediate the characteristic L-shaped molecular structure. tRNAs have two regions of fundamental functional importance: the anti-codon, which is responsible for specific mRNA codon recognition, and the 3' end, to which the tRNAs corresponding amino acid is attached (by aminoacyl-tRNA synthetases). tRNAs cope with the degeneracy of the genetic code in two manners: having more than one tRNA (with a specific anti-codon) for a particular amino acid; and 'wobble' base-pairing, i.e. permitting non-standard base-pairing at the 3rd anti-codon position.
Source: Rfam by way of RNAcentral